GUUAUCCGGAAUCAUUGGGCGUAAAGCGCCUGUAGGUUGUUUAAUAAGUCCGUUGUUAAAGACUAGGGCUUAACCCUAGGAAAGCGAUGGAAACUGAUAGACUUGAGUAUGGCAGGGGUAGAGGGAAUUUCUAGUGUAGCGGUGAGAUGCGUAGAUAUUAGAAAGAACACCGGUGGCGAAAGCGCUCUACUGGACCAUUACUGACACUGAGAGGCGAAAGCUAGGGGAGCGAAAGGGAUUAGAUACCCCUGUAGUCCUAGCCGUAAACGAUGGAUACUAGAUGUUGUGCAAUUUGGACAGUAUCGUAGCUAACGCGUUAAGUAUCCCGCCUGGGGAGUACGCUCGCAAGGGUGAAACUCAAAGGAAUUGACGGGGGCCCGCACAAGCGGUGGAGCAUGUGGUUUAAUUCGAUGCAACGCGAAGAACCUUACCAGGGCUUGACAUACUACAGAUCUUUUUGAGAAAGAAGAGUGCCUUCGGGAAUGUAGAUACAGGUGGUGCAUGGCUGUCGUCAGCUCGUGUCGUGAGAUGUUGGGUUAAGUCCCGCAACGAGCGCAACCCUCGUUUUUAGUUGCCAAUUUAUUGGGAUCUCUAGAAAGACUGCCGGUGACAAACCCGGAGGAAGGUGAGGAUGACGUCAAGUCAGCAUGCCCCUUAUGUCCUGGGCCACACACGUGCUACAAUGGUAAAGACAAAGAGUUGCGAGCUCGCGAGAGUCAGCUAAUCUCA
RNAcentral lists this ribosomal RNA (729 nucleotides) under uncultured marine haptophyte. RNAcentral's name for it is "bacterial SSU rRNA". It matches the Rfam family "Bacterial small subunit ribosomal RNA", at positions 540 to 1276 of the family's 1533-position model. The record is from RNAcentral. Lineage: Eukaryota; Haptophyta.